CCAGCAUCUCUUCAUUCUGCGUCGGAUUCUGCUUCAUUCUACUUGUUAUAACGCUCGUUACAAUCGUCCGCGAUUAGGUGACAGACCGAUUUUUGUGUCCACGAGUUUAAUCCCCGCUCGAGAGCGAGAUUUUACGCUAUCCUGAUCGCUUUUUUCGUAUCGCAUGGCUACGAGGUAUUGGUAGAGGCGACGCUGAAAUAGUUCGAGAGGAAGAAAAACAUCUUCGCAUUGUCGUUGUCGCCGUCGUUCUCGGUCCCACGGCUCAGAAAGUGUGAAAUUUGAAAGUCGCGAUAAGAAAAAGCCACGCACCCGUGACGCAACGACUUAUCCAUUAUAUGGUCUUUUGGUGCGUGAACCCGUUGUCGCUGUUUUGUCUAUUUUAGAGCGUCGUCACGCGCCGUGACACGAAGAAUCAACGAAGCGUCGACUGUGAUUAACCAAAUUUUCAUUCCCAAUUGCACAGCACCCACUUGACACUACCGGAGAUUCUAUCGGAGAUAUUACCUAAUCACCAUUGCAAGGACGUAUUAUAAGAACGAAGAUUGGAGUUUUUCACGUAUGAAAUAAAGAUGAAGCUGAUUUUCCUGUUACUAUUGUUCGUCGGUUUUGUCUUUUCCGCAUCCUGGUUGGAUUUAUGGUUUCCCGGGCAACCCUCGUAUAACAGAGGAAGCGGUUCUUACCGGGAAUACCGUCAAGGAAGAAGUGAUGGUAAAGAACGCUGGAAGCAGAUCUGCAGGACAAUAAACGCCGAUCCUUACGCGUAUCCAGGACGCGUGCCUUAUCCUGCCGCACCGGUCUGUCCUUGGUGAAAGAAAUUCAGUCGGACUGGCCGGUCGUCCUGUCGUGCCAAAUAUAAGCGAUAAUAUGUACACACAUGAUGCGUUAAAAAUAUGAAUUUAUUAUAACAACGCUUUAAAGACAGUAUACGCCCACUGAUUAUGAGUAUUUCAGUCAAUGUGUUUUUUUUGUAUGUAUGCGCGCAUGUAUAUGUGUUCCAUGUGUGUAUGUGUGUGGAUUCAUACUUGUGUGCGAAGAUACAUACAUAAACUAAUAUACAUAAAUACUCGCGGUUACA
Molecule: long non-coding RNA, 1075 nt
Organism: Harpegnathos saltator (Jerdon's jumping ant)
Lineage: Eukaryota; Metazoa; Arthropoda; Insecta; Hymenoptera; Formicidae
Exons: 2
Source: RefSeq, a predicted model, not a curated record